CCUACGGGGGGCAGCAGUGAGGAAUAUUGGUCAAUGGACGAGAGUCUGAACCAGCCAAGUAGCGUGAAGGAUGACUGCCCUAUGGGUUGUAAACUUCUUUUAUAUGGGAAUAAAAUGUUCCACGUGUGGGAUUUUGUAUGUACCAUAUGAAUAAGGAUCGGCUAACUCCGUGCCAGCAGCCGCGGUAAUACGGAGGAUCCGAGCGUUAUCCGGAUUUAUUGGGUUUAAGGGGAGCGUAGGGGGAUUGUUAAGUCAGGUGUGAAAGUUUGCGGCUCAACCGUAAAAUUGCAGUUGAAACUGGCAGUCUUGAGUACAGUAGAGGUGGGCGGAAUUCGUGGUGUAGCGGUGAAAUGCUUAGAUAUCACGAAGAACUCCGAUUGCGAAGGCAGUUCACUGGACUGCAACUGACACUGAGGCUCGAAAGUGUGGGUAUCAAACAGGAUUAGAUACCCUUGUAGUC
RNAcentral lists this ribosomal RNA (460 nucleotides) under uncultured bacterium. RNAcentral's name for it is "partial 16S ribosomal RNA". It matches the Rfam family "Bacterial small subunit ribosomal RNA", at positions 338 to 795 of the family's 1533-position model. The record is from RNAcentral.